UUGAACGCUGGCGGCAUGCCUUACACAUGCAAGUCGAACGGCGGCAUGAUCUAGCUUGCUAGAUUGAUGGCGAGUGGCGAACGGGUGAGUAAUACAUCGGAACGUGCCCUGUAGUGGGGGAUAACUAGUCGAAAGAUUAGCUAAUACCGCAUACGACCUGAGGGUGAAAGUGGGGGACCGCAAGGCCUCAUGCUAUAGGAGCGGCCGAUGUCUGAUUAGCUAGUUGGUGAGGUAAAGGCUCACCAAGGCGACGAUCAGUAGCUGGUCUGAGAGGACGAUCAGCCACACUGGGACUGGGACACGGCCCAGACUCCUACGGGAGGCAGCAGUGGGGAAUUUUGGACAAUGGGGGCAACCCUGAUCCAGCAAUGCCGCGUGUGUGAAGAAGGCCUUCGGGUUGUAAAGCACUUUUGUCCGGAAAGAAAUCGCACUUACUAAUAUUAGGUGUGGAUGACGGUACCGGAAGAAUAAGGACCGGCUAACUACGUGCCAGCAGCCGCGGUAAUACGUAGGGUCCAAGCGUUAAUCGGAAUUACUGGGCGUAAAGCGUGCGCAGGCGGUUGUGCAAGACCGAUGUGAAAUCCCCGGGCUUAACCUGGGAAUUGCAUUGGUGACUGCACGGCUAGAGUGUGUCAGAGGGGGGUAGAAUUCCACGUGUAGCAGUGAAAUGCGUAGAGAUGUGGAGGAAUACCGAUGGCGAAGGCAGCCCCCUGGGAUAACACUGACGCUCAUGCACGAAAGCGUGGGGAGCAAACAGGAUUAGAUACCCUGGUAGUCCACGCCCUAAACGAUGUCAACUAGUUGUUGGGGAUUCAUUUCCUUAGUAACGUAGCUAACGCGUGAAGUUGACCGCCUGGGGAGUACGGUCGCAAGAUUAAAACUCAAAGGAAUUGACGGGGACCCGCACAAGCGGUGGAUGAUGUGGAUUAAUUCGAUGCAACGCGAAAAACCUUACCUACCCUUGACAUGCCACUAACGAAGCAGAGAUGCAUUAGGUGCUCGAAAGAGAAAGUGGACACAGGUGCUGCAUGGCUGUCGUCAGCUCGUGUCGUGAGAUGUUGGGUUAAGUCCCGCAACGAGCGCAACCCUUGUCUCUAGUUGCUACGAAAGGGCACUCUAGAGAGACUGCCGGUGACAAACCGGAGGAAGGUGGGGAUGACGUCAAGUCCUCAUGGCCCUUAUGGGUAGGGCUUCACACGUCAUACAAUGGUGCAUACAGAGGGUUGCCAAGCCGCGAGGUGGAGCUAAUCCCAGAAAAUGCAUCGUAGUCCGGAUCGUAGUCUGCAACUCGACUACGUGAAGCUGGAAUCGCUAGUAAUCGCGGAUCAGCAUGCCGCGGUGAAUACGUUCCCGGGUCUUGUACUCACCGCC
Molecule: ribosomal RNA, 1371 nt
Filed under: uncultured beta proteobacterium
Lineage: Bacteria; Pseudomonadati; Pseudomonadota; Betaproteobacteria
Description: bacterial SSU rRNA
Rfam family: Bacterial small subunit ribosomal RNA
Source: RNAcentral